UACGUAGGGUGCGAGCGUUAAUCGGAAUUACUGGGCGUAAAGCGUGCGUAGGCGGUUGGCAAAGUCAGCUGUGAAAGCCCCGGGCUUAACCUGGGAAUGGCGGUUGAAACUAGUCGACUCGAAUCUGGCAGAGGGGGGUGGAAUUCCACGUGUAGCAGUGAAAUGCGUAGAGAUGUGGAGGAACACCGAUGGCGAAGGCAGCCCCCUGGGCUAACACUGACGCUCAUGCACGAAAGCGUAGGGAGCAAACAGG
Molecule: ribosomal RNA, 253 nt
Filed under: uncultured bacterium
Lineage: Bacteria
Description: partial 16S ribosomal RNA
Rfam family: Bacterial small subunit ribosomal RNA
Source: RNAcentral